GCCCGGACAGAGGCGGGAGCAAGCCCUGGGGUAUCUGGAGGGUGCGAUUCUUGGCAGAGAGGACAGCAGAACCUUCCAUGUCACUCCAUCAACAUGCACUGUAACACCAGCAGCCCUUGACCCUGAGACAAUCACACAGAACAGGGCUUCUCGACCUUGGCAUUCGGCGUUCAUGGUGGGACAGCCGUUGUGAGGCCGUCCUGUGCACUGGAGGGCGCUCAGUAGGGUCUCAGGCCUCCACCUGUCAGAUGCCAGUAGCACCUUCUGUGGCCCCCAGGAUUGUGGAAACCGAAAAUGUCUCCAGACAUUGCUAAGUGUCACCUGGGUGACAAACAUGCCCCGCUGAGAGCCACUGCCCUACAGUGUCCUCCGCAGGGUUUGGCCUGUUUCGUUUACCUGGGGCAGGGCCCGGAACAUGGGUGGCGCUAAAUAAAUCCUA
This is a non-coding RNA of Microcebus murinus (gray mouse lemur), 439 nucleotides long. NCBI's taxonomy places the organism in Eukaryota, Metazoa, Chordata, Mammalia, Primates, Cheirogaleidae. The record is from RefSeq and is a predicted model, not a curated record.